Molecule: ribosomal RNA, 1101 nt
Filed under: Ganoderma tropicum
Lineage: Eukaryota; Fungi; Basidiomycota; Agaricomycetes; Polyporales; Polyporaceae
Description: partial large subunit ribosomal RNA
Rfam family: Eukaryotic large subunit ribosomal RNA
Source: RNAcentral
AGGACCAAAAGAAGAACUAACAAGGAUUCCCCUAGUAACUGCGAGUGAAGCGGGAAAAGCUCAAAUUUAAAAUCUGGCGGUCUUUGGCCGUCCGAGUUGUAGUCUGGAGAAGUGCUUUCCGCGCUGGACCGUGUAUAAGUCUCUUGGAACAGAGCGUCAUAGAGGGUGAGAAUCCCGUCUUUGACACGGACUACCAGUGCUUUGUGAUGCGCUCUCAAAGAGUCGAGUUGUUUGGGAAUGCAGCUCAAAAUGGGUGGUGAAUUCCAUCUAAAGCUAAAUAUUGGCGAGAGACCGAUAGCGAACAAGUACCGUGAGGGAAAGAUGAAAAGCACUUUGGAAAGAGAGUUAAACAGUACGUGAAAUUGCUGAAAGGGAAACGCUUGAAGUCAGUCGCGUCGUCCGGAACUCAGCCUUGCUUUCGCUUGGUGCACUUUCCGGAUGACGGGUCAGCAUCGAUUUUGACCGUCGGAAAAGGGCUAGAGUAAUGUGGCACCUCCGGGUGUGUUAUAGACUCUGGUCGCAUACGGCGGUUGGGAUCGAGGAACGCAGCGCGCCGCAAGGCAGGGGUUCGCCCACUUUCGCGCUUAGGAUGCUGGCAUAAUGGCUUUAAACGACCCGUCUUGAAACACGGACCAAGGAGUCUAACAUACCUGCGAGUGUUUGGGUGGAAAACCCGAGCGCGUAAUGAAAGUGAAAGUUGAGAUCCCUGUCGUGGGGAGCACCGACGCCCGGACCUGACGUUCUCUGACGGAUCCGCGGUAGAGCAUGUAUGUUGGGACCCGAAAGAUGGUGAACUAUGCCUGAAUAGGGUGAAGCCAGAGGAAACUCUGGUGGAGGCUCGUAGCGAUUCUGACGUGCAAAUCGAUCGUCAAAUUUUGGGUUUAGGGGCGAAGGACUAAUCGAAUCAUCUAGUAGCUGGGUUCCUGCCGGAGGUUUUCCCUCAGGAUAGCAGAACUCAUUAUCAGAUUUAUGUGUUAAGCGAUGAUGAGAGGGCCUUUGGGGUUGAAACACCUUAACUAUUCUCAACUUUAAUAUGUAGACGAGCCGUCGCUGAUGGACCGCUCGGCGAUGAAGUUCUAUGGGUCAUUUUGGUAGCCAACG